Molecule: long non-coding RNA, 632 nt
Organism: Impatiens glandulifera
Lineage: Eukaryota; Viridiplantae; Streptophyta; Magnoliopsida; Ericales; Balsaminaceae
Exons: 3
Source: RefSeq, a predicted model, not a curated record
ACGACAGAUUCUUGAGCUUCGUGAGCUUCAACAGCCAUGCCUCGGCUCCAAUGGACCCUACAAACUCUAUGUUGUAUAUAAAUAGAAUUUUAGGGAGAGAAGGUUACUCAGCCGUGGUAGAAUUUAUGGUGAAUGUCCGUGAAGAAGGUCAUCCGACGGUGUUUGACACUAGGAUGACGGUUGAGGGUUGAUCUGGAGCGUUGCAACAACGAUUUUUGCAAAGAAAAACCCUGAGUUCUUAUGUGAGACGCGAUAUAUGCAUCCUUUCUCCAUCUGAGCCUAGAGGCCUUUGAUACCGAUUGAAGGACCUUGAACAGAUCUUGAGGCAUUCUACUACUAAUGUUGCCGAAAGAAUACAAUGUGUGAAGUGGCUUCUGAAAUCCAGAAGACAGGCGAUCUUCGUGAGCUUCAGCAGCAAUGCCUCGGCACCAAAGGUACAUACAAACCUAGGAAAUGAUGAAGAAGAUCACAUUGAAAUGAUCUUAAGGAAAGAUAUGUCAGAUUCUUGAGCUUCGUGAGCUUCAACCACCACGCCUCAGCCCCAAUGGCCCCUACAAACCCUAUGUAAGAUGUUGAUUCAAUUUAAUUAAUCAGCUAAUUUGUAAGAAUUUAAAUGAAAAUCAUGUUUUAGU